CCUACGGGUGGCAGCAGUGAGGAAUAUUGGUCAAUGGGCGAGAGCCUGAACCAGCCAAGUCGCGUGAAGGAUGAAGGAUCUAUGGUUUGUAAGCUUCUUUUAUAGGGGAAUAAAGUGAGGAACGUGUUCCUUUUUGUAUGUACCAUAUGAAUAAGCAUCGGCUAACUCCGUGCCAGCAGCCGCGGUAAUACGGAGGGUGCGAGCGUUAUCCGGAUUGAUUGGGUUUAAAGGGUGCGUAGGUGGUUAAUUAAGUCAGCGGUGAAAGUUCGUGGCUCAACCAUAAAAUUGCCUUUGAACUGGGUUGACUGGAGUAUAUUUGAGGUAGGCGGAAUGCGUGGGGUAGCGGUGAAAUGCA
This 355-nucleotide ribosomal RNA is filed under the name uncultured bacterium. RNAcentral describes it as "partial 16S ribosomal RNA". It matches the Rfam family "Bacterial small subunit ribosomal RNA", at positions 338 to 690 of the family's 1533-position model. The record is from RNAcentral.